RNAcentral lists this ribosomal RNA (253 nucleotides) under uncultured bacterium. RNAcentral describes it as "partial 16S ribosomal RNA". It matches the Rfam family "Bacterial small subunit ribosomal RNA", at positions 524 to 776 of the family's 1533-position model. The record is from RNAcentral.
UACGGAGGGUGCGAGCGUUGUCCGGAAUCACUGGGCGUAAAGCGCACGUAGGCGGAUUCGUAAGUCAGGGGUGAAAUCCCGGGGCUCAACCUCGGAACUGCCUUUGAUACUGCGGGUCUUGAGUCCGAUAGAGGUGGGUGGAAUUCCUAGUGUAGAGGUGAAAUUCGUAGAUAUUAGGAAGAACACCGGUGGCGAAGGCGGCCCACUGGAUCGGUACUGACGCUGAGGUGCGAAAGCGUGGGGAGCAAACAGG